UCGUUUUUUUGUUUUUUUUUUGCCUGGAACCCGUGAAGCUGUUUGUUUUGUUUUACUGUUGGUGUGAAUGCGUGCUCUCCCUGUCCAUGCGGCAACCCACGGUGCAAGCCCGGACCUGCCGCAUCUCCCACCUGGGGGGUGUCACAUGGCAUGUGACAAACCUGGAACUGAUUCUGUUGAAAUGCCAAGAGUUUUUCAGGCGAUGCAACUUUGUGUCAGACAUGGCUGGAUGUAAUCAGACACCCCAACAUAACAGCUGAAGAAGUUCGCAAACAGGGACUAAGGGUAUGAAGUGACCACUUUGAAGGCACCGACUACCAAGGCGACCGUCAGAAGCCUGGAGCUGUAUCCACAGUUUUCCCAUCGUUGGUCGAACCGCUCGAGGUACGCCCACAUCAGAAGUCGCACAAUGAUAUGCAUCCUGGAGUUCAACGCUAAACUGCC
Molecule: long non-coding RNA, 444 nt
Organism: Anguilla anguilla (European eel)
Lineage: Eukaryota; Metazoa; Chordata; Actinopteri; Anguilliformes; Anguillidae
Exons: 3
Source: RefSeq, a predicted model, not a curated record